AUUGAACGCUGGCGGCAUGCCUUACACAUGCAAGUCGAACGGUAACAGGUCUUCGGAUGCUGACGAGUGGCGAACGGGUGAGUAAUACAUCGGAACGUGCCUAGUAGUGGGGGAUAACUACUCGAAAGAGUGGCUAAUACCGCAUGAGAUCUACGGAUGAAAGCAGGGGAUCGCAAGACCUUGUGCUACUAGAGCGGCCGAUGGCAGAUUAGGUAGUUGGUGGGAUAAAAGCUUACCAAGCCGACGAUCUGUAGCUGGUCUGAGAGGACGAUCAGCCACACUGGGAGUGAGAGACGGCCCAGACUCCUACGGGAGGCAGCAGUGGGGAAUUUUGAACAAUGGGCGAAAGCCUGAUCCAGCAAUGCCGCGUGCAGGAUGAAGGCCUUCGGGUUGUAAACUGCUUUUGUACGGAACGAAAAGCCCCGGGUUAAUACCCUGGGGUCAUGACGGUACCGUAAGAAUAAGCACCGGCUAACUACGUGCCAGCAGCCGCAGUAA
RNAcentral lists this ribosomal RNA (498 nucleotides) under uncultured bacterium. RNAcentral describes it as "partial 16S ribosomal RNA". It matches the Rfam family "Bacterial small subunit ribosomal RNA", at positions 30 to 523 of the family's 1533-position model. The record is from RNAcentral.